Long non-coding RNA from Ostrinia nubilalis (European corn borer), 632 nucleotides. RefSeq lists it as uncharacterized. NCBI's taxonomy places the organism in Eukaryota, Metazoa, Arthropoda, Insecta, Lepidoptera, Crambidae. The transcript is spliced from 4 exons. The record is from RefSeq and is a predicted model, not a curated record.
CGGCGGCGGCGGCGGCGGCGGCGGCGGCGGCUGGAGGCCUCCGCCGCCCUCUCGCCGUCGUCGGCCGAAUAUUAUCAUGAACCGAACGGAACGAUGCGAUGGGGACAGCAAGCAGCGGAGAGCAGGACUCGGCCUGCCUGCCUCUGUAUUUAAAAUGUGACUCGUCUAUCGCAAGAAACACAUACGAUGCUGCUGCUGGAACGCGACGAGCGAGCGAAACAACGAACGUACGUACUGCGACUGCGCGCGCGCGGAACGAGAGAAAAGAGGAUGGAUAGAGCGGUGUGUUAGAGCGGGACAAAACUUACGGUGCGAAACGACGCGUCAUGGCAAUACCGGACGGAGGAGUGUGGUACCUACGCGGUGCCGCGCUGCCGCCGCAGAUUGAUGGCGAACGAAUCGAAUCCACCAACGACGAGGCUGGUCACAGGUGCGACAGUAAUAUUUUAUUAUAAUAUCUAUUUAUUAUUUUCACAUAAAUUUUGCUGUUGUAUUAUUUAAUCUAUAUGAGUGAUAAUAUGAAAUGAAACAUUGGUAUAAUGUAUAAUUAUGUACCUACUCUAAAGACGUUUUAUGACAUUGACGCACUUAUUUAUAGUAAUUGUUAUUACAAAUAAAAUUUGUUUGACUUA